This is a small nuclear RNA of Octodon degus (degu), 135 nucleotides long. Its record names the gene U4. It matches the Rfam family "U4 spliceosomal RNA". From Rfam's summary of the family: U4 small nuclear RNA (U4 snRNA) is a component of the major U2-dependent spliceosome. Lineage: Eukaryota; Metazoa; Chordata; Mammalia; Rodentia; Octodontidae. The record is from Ensembl.
AGCUUUGCGCAGUGGCAGUAUCGUAGCCAAUGAGGUUUAUCCAAGGCGUGAUUAUUGCUAAUUGAAAACAUAGUGAGAUGGGAACUGCUGUUGACCACCUAUUUUCUUCAGUAUCUGUGUAAUUCCAACUGUGAA